This 505-nucleotide ribosomal RNA is filed under the name uncultured bacterium. RNAcentral's name for it is "partial 16S ribosomal RNA". It matches the Rfam family "Bacterial small subunit ribosomal RNA", at positions 28 to 507 of the family's 1533-position model. The record is from RNAcentral.
GACGAACGCUGGCGGCGUGCCUAAUACAUGCAAGUAGAACGCACAGUUUAUACCGUAGCUUGCUACACCAUAAACUGUGAGUUGCGAACGGGUGAGUAACGCGUAGGUAACCUGCCUGGUAGCGGGGGAUAACUAUUGGAAACGAUAGCUAAUACCGCAUAAUAUUGAUUAUUGCAUGAUAAUUGAUUGAAAGAUGCUAUUGCAUCACUACCAGAUGGACCUGCGUUGUAUUAGCUAGUAGGUGAGGUAACGGCUCACCUAGGCGACGAUACAUAGCCGACCUGGGAGGGUGAUCGGCCACACUGGGACUGAGACACGGCCCAGACUCCUACGGGAGGCAGCAGUAGGGAAUCUUCGGCAAUGGACGAAAGUCUGACCGAGCAACGCCGCGUGAGUGAAGAAGGUUUUCGGAUCGUAAAGCUCUGUUGUAAGAGAAGAACGGGUGUGAGAGUGGAAAGUUCACACGGUGACGGUAUCUUACCAGAAAGGGACGGCUAACUACGUG